CACGGGGAUAGGCCCGACGCGGGGCCGAAGGAAGGGUGGUCUUUCCCGCAGAGUUGCCGCUGGAGGACCGAAAGUUUUGCAGGCAGCCCUUGCUUCCAGCUUGUCACUCUCUCCCCGCGUCCCUGUCGCCCAACGCGAGGCGCCCCGGUUGGGGUCCCGACGGCUUGGUGGGGAGGAGCCGUGAGGGGUUGCGCCCCCCACCCCCACCCGAGCCAGGGAAGGGACCCUGGUGACCUCGCCUCCCAGCCCUCACCCCCGUCACCCCUUUCUUCUCUUUCCCGGAGGACUUUGGACCAUGGAGAUUCUGCAGUUGUUGCUCUGGGAGCUGAAACCAGUGGGUAGAUGUCGUUCUGAAACGCAGUCAACCAAUAUUGCCUGUCAUGGAACAGCUGUCCCCUCCUGUCAGGAGGGAAAGAUAAGUGAGACCCAUCCUCACCCUCACAGAGAUGCAGUCUGGUGGCCUCUGGAAGAAGGAAGUUGUGAAACUUACCGAUUCCUUGGGAAAACAGAUUGUGAGAUCCAUGAGAGCCCAGAAAAUAUCUUAGGAU
This 548-nucleotide long non-coding RNA is filed under the name Pan troglodytes (chimpanzee). RNAcentral describes it as "long non-coding RNA NONPTRT015818". The record is from RNAcentral. Lineage: Eukaryota; Metazoa; Chordata; Mammalia; Primates; Hominidae.